GGGGCUAUAGCUCAGUUGGCUAGAGCGCUUCGCUGGCAGCGAAGAGGUCCGCGGUUCGAGUCCGCGUAGCUCCACCA
Molecule: transfer RNA, 77 nt
Filed under: Candidatus Saccharimonadota bacterium
Lineage: Bacteria; Candidatus Saccharimonadota
Description: tRNA-Ala
Rfam family: tRNA
About the family: Transfer RNA (tRNA) molecules are approximately 80 nucleotides in length. Their secondary structure includes four short double-helical elements and three loops (D, anti-codon, and T loops). Further hydrogen bonds mediate the characteristic L-shaped molecular structure. tRNAs have two regions of fundamental functional importance: the anti-codon, which is responsible for specific mRNA codon recognition, and the 3' end, to which the tRNAs corresponding amino acid is attached (by aminoacyl-tRNA synthetases). tRNAs cope with the degeneracy of the genetic code in two manners: having more than one tRNA (with a specific anti-codon) for a particular amino acid; and 'wobble' base-pairing, i.e. permitting non-standard base-pairing at the 3rd anti-codon position.
Source: RNAcentral